Molecule: ribosomal RNA, 432 nt
Filed under: uncultured bacterium
Lineage: Bacteria
Description: partial 16S ribosomal RNA
Rfam family: Bacterial small subunit ribosomal RNA
Source: RNAcentral
AACGAACGCUGGCGGCAUGCCUAACACAUGCAAGUCGAACGAGACCUUCGGGUCUAGUGGCGCACGGGUGCGUAACGCGUGGGAACCUGCCCUUAGGUUCGGAAUAACUCCCCGAAAGGGGUGCUAAUACCGGAUAAUGUCUUCGGACCAAAGAUUUAUCGCCUUUGGAUGGGCCCGCGUUGGAUUAGCUAGUUGGUAGGGUAAAAGCCUACCAAGGCGACGAUCCAUAGCUGGUCUGAGAGGAUGAUCAGCCACACUGGGACUGAGACACGGCCCAGACCCCUACGGGGGGCAGCAGGGGGGAAUAUUGGACAAUGGGCGAAAGCCUGAUCCAGCAAUGCCGGGGGAGUGAUGAAGGCCUUAGGGUUGUAAAGCUCUUUUACCCGGGAUGAUAAUGACAGUACCGGGAGAAUAAGCUCCGGCUAACUCCGU